GGGCCCGCACAAGCGGUGGAGCAUGUGGUUUAAUUCGAUGAUACGCGAGGAACCUUACCAGGGCUUAAAUGUAGUAUGACCGGCUUGGAAACAGGCCUUCUCUUCGGAGCAGAUUACAAGGUGCUGCAUGGUUGUCGUCAGCUCGUGCCGUGAGGUGUUAGGUUAAGUCCUGCAACGAGCGCAACCCCUAUUCUUAGUUGCCAGCGGUUCGGCCGGGGACUCUAAGAAGACUGCCAGCGCAAGCUGAGAGGAAGGUGGGGAUGACGUCAAAUCAUCACGGCCCUUACGUCCUGGGCUACACACGUGCUACAAUGGUAUCUACACAGGAAGCAAGACUGCGAGGUCAAG
Molecule: ribosomal RNA, 348 nt
Filed under: uncultured bacterium
Lineage: Bacteria
Description: bacterial SSU rRNA
Rfam family: Bacterial small subunit ribosomal RNA
Source: RNAcentral